RNAcentral lists this ribosomal RNA (451 nucleotides) under uncultured bacterium. RNAcentral describes it as "partial 16S ribosomal RNA". It matches the Rfam family "Bacterial small subunit ribosomal RNA", at positions 29 to 523 of the family's 1533-position model. The record is from RNAcentral.
AGCGAACGCUGGCGGCAGGCCUAACACAUGCAAGUCGAACGCCCGUAGCAAUACGGGAGUGGCAGACGGGUGAGUAACGCGUGGGAACGUGCCCUUCGGUUCGGAAUAACCCAGGGAAACUUGGGCUAAUACCGGAUACGUCCGUAAGGAGAAAGAUUUAUCGCCGAAGGAUCGGCCCGCGUCCGAUUAGCUAGUUGGUGAGGUAACGGCUCACCAAGGCGACGAUCGGUAGCUGGUCUGAGAGGAUGAUCAGCCACACUGGGACUGAGACACGGCCCAGACUCCUACGGGAGGCAGCAGUGGGGAAUAUUGGACAAUGGGCGCAAGCCUGAUCCAGCCAUGCCGCGUGGGUGAUGAAGGCCCUAGGGUUGUAAAGCCCUUUCGGCGGGGAAGAUAAUGACGGUACCCGCAGAAGAAGCCCCGGCUAACUUCGUGCCAGCCGCCGCGGUAA